This 217-nucleotide ribosomal RNA is filed under the name uncultured Candidatus Accumulibacter sp. RNAcentral describes it as "partial 16S ribosomal RNA". It matches the Rfam family "Bacterial small subunit ribosomal RNA", at positions 641 to 856 of the family's 1533-position model. Lineage: Bacteria; Pseudomonadati; Pseudomonadota; Betaproteobacteria. The record is from RNAcentral.
CUGGAGUUUGGCAGAGGGGGGUGGAAUUCCACGUGUAGCAGUGAAAUGCGUAGAGAUGUGGAGGAACACCGAUGGCGAAGGCAGCCCCCUGGGCCGAUACUGACGCUCAUGCACGAAAGCGUGGGUAGCAAACAGGAUUAGAUACCCUGGUAGUCCACGCCCUAAACGAUGUCAACUAGUUGUUGGGAGGGUAAAACCUUUUAGUGCCGUAGCUAAC